GCCGUCGGUGGUGCAAGGGUUUAACACACUCUCCCAAAAAGAGAGAGAUUUGGGUUCGCAUCCCGGCCGACGCA
Parelaphostrongylus tenuis is the source of this 74-nucleotide non-coding RNA. Lineage: Eukaryota; Metazoa; Nematoda; Chromadorea; Rhabditida; Metastrongylidae. The record is from the annotation of a GenBank genome assembly.